CCCUUAGAUGUUCUGGGCCGCACGCGCGCUACACUGACGAAUGCAACGAGCUUAUAACCUUGGCCGAAAGGUCUGGGUAAUCUCCAAAUUUCGUCGUGAUGGGGAUAGAUUAUUGCAAUUAUUAAUCUUCAACGAGGAAUGCCUAGUAAGCGCAAGUCAUCAGCUUGCGUUGAUUACGUCCCUGCCCUUUGUACACACCGCCCGUCGCUCCUACCGAUUGAAUGGUCCGGUGAAGCGUUCGGACCGUGGCCUUUGGACGGUUCGCCGUCUGUUGGCUGCGGGAAGUUCGUUAAACCUUAUCAUGUAGAGGAAGGAGAANUCGUAACA
Molecule: ribosomal RNA, 327 nt
Filed under: uncultured eukaryote
Lineage: Eukaryota
Description: partial 18S ribosomal RNA
Rfam family: Eukaryotic small subunit ribosomal RNA
Source: RNAcentral